AGUGAACGCUGGCGGUAGGCCUAACACAUGCAAGUCGAACGGCAGCACAGUAAGAGCUUGCUCUUACGGGUGGCGAGUGGCGGACGGGUGAGGAAUACAUCGGAAUCUACUUUUUCGUGGGGGAUAACGUAGGGAAACUUACGCUAAUACCGCAUACGACCUACGGGUGAAAGCAGGGGAUCUUCGGACCUUGCGCGAUUGAAUGAGCCGAUGUCGGAUUAGCUAGUUGGCGGGGUAAAGGCCCACCAAGGCGACGAUCCGUAGCUGGUCUGAGAGGAUGAGGAGCCACACUGGAACUGAGACACGGUCCAGACUCCUACGGGAGGCAGCAGUGGGGAAUAUUGGACAAUGGGCGCAAGCCUGAUCCAGACAUACCGCGUGGGUGAAGAAGGCCUUCGGGUUUUAAAGCCCUUUUGUUGGGAAAGAAAAGCAGCAGGUUAAUACCCCGCUGUUCUGACGGUACCCAAAGAAUAAGCACCGGCUAACUUCGUG
RNAcentral lists this ribosomal RNA (492 nucleotides) under uncultured bacterium. Its description in RNAcentral is "partial 16S ribosomal RNA". It matches the Rfam family "Bacterial small subunit ribosomal RNA", at positions 29 to 507 of the family's 1533-position model. The record is from RNAcentral.